Molecule: long non-coding RNA, 740 nt
Organism: Oryzias melastigma (Indian medaka)
Lineage: Eukaryota; Metazoa; Chordata; Actinopteri; Beloniformes; Adrianichthyidae
Exons: 3
Source: RefSeq, a predicted model, not a curated record
CAGCCUGAAAUGAAGGAGACAGAUGUUCAGCACAACUUCAGUGAUAAAUCAAGAUUCGACACUAAUCUGCUGCUCUCCUUGUGCCACCACACGAGCACAGAACAACGCUGAGAACAAACGGCCGAGUGUUUCCUCAACAGCAUGAUCAAAGUCUGUGAACUUAAAUCCAAUUUCCAAGUCGGUUCUGGGCCUUGAUUGAGUGGAAAAACAAUCUUGAAGUGCAACUUUGAGGAAAAUCUGCAUCAAUUUGUGUUACUUUUGCAGAAUUUGCAUGAUAAGAGGAGCUAAAAUGUGUCUCCUUACACGUCAGUUUCCCAGCAUGCUCUUGAAACAAAUAACUGCCCAUGUGUAUGUGCUUUAGGAAGCAUUAGGUACCUGUGCGUGCUACCCCUCCGUGCACUGUGGGCUUCCUGCCAGCCGCGUUUGCAGGUGCUGCUUACAUGCUGGUAUCGUGCAGUCUCUGGUGUGGUGGUAAACUCUGUACACAGUCUUCCUGCACUUUGGGCUGAAGAAAAGAGGACCUGACAGAAGACAGGACAGAAUCUCUGGGAAAUGUAACUGUUGGAAGAGAUGGGAGAAACUGUCACGCGCAUGUUGGCAACAUGAGUCCAAUAAAACAGUUAAAGCUUUUGCAGUUGUGCCAGAAUGGCUGUAAACAUUACAGGAAUUAAGGAGAUCCAAGGGUUUUACGCAUCACUCCAACAGCGAUUUCGUGCGUUUUGGAGCAUGUUUGAUGCGUA